CUACGGGGUGCUGCGGUGGGGAAUAUUGCACAAUGGGCGCAAGCCUGAUGCAGCCAUGCCGCGUGUAUGAAGAAGGCCUUCGGGUUGUAAAGUACUUUCAGCGGGGAGGAAGGGAGUAAAGUUAAUACCUUUGCUCAUUGACGUUACCCGCAGAAGAAGCACCGGCUAACUCCGUGCCAGCAGCCGCGGUAAUACGGAGGGUGCAAGCGUUAAUCGGAAUUACUGGGCGUAAAGCGCACGCAGGCGGUUUGUUAAGUCAGAUGUGAAAUCCCCGGGCUCAACCUGGGAACUGCAUCUGAUACUGGCAAGCGUGAGUCUCGUAGAGGGGGGUAGAAUUCCAGGUGUAGCGGUGAAAUGCGUAGAGAUCUGGAGGAAUACCGGUGGCGAAGGCGGCCCCCUGGACGAAGACUGACGCUCAGGUGCGAAAGCGUGGGGAGCAAACAGGAUUAGAUACCCGCGUAGUC
RNAcentral lists this ribosomal RNA (464 nucleotides) under uncultured bacterium. RNAcentral's name for it is "partial 16S ribosomal RNA". It matches the Rfam family "Bacterial small subunit ribosomal RNA", at positions 339 to 795 of the family's 1533-position model. The record is from RNAcentral.